Pyrus x bretschneideri (Chinese white pear) is the source of this 431-nucleotide long non-coding RNA. RefSeq lists it as uncharacterized. The transcript has 2 exons. NCBI's taxonomy places the organism in Eukaryota, Viridiplantae, Streptophyta, Magnoliopsida, Rosales, Rosaceae. The record is from RefSeq and is a predicted model, not a curated record.
AUGCAGCAAAAGAUUGUCAUGAAAGUGCAACUAAACUCUGAGAAGUGCAGAACCAAGGCCUUGAAGAUUGCUGCAAAGGCCAAAGGUGUGAGCAAAGUGUCCAUAUAAGUAGACAAAGGGCAGGUGGAGGUGAUCGGAAAUGGAGUUGAUGUCGUUUGCUUGGCCAAGUUGUUGAAGAACAAGCUUGGCUUCGCCACCAUAGUAGUUGUUGAAGAAGUGAAAAAAUCAGCUGACGAAAAACCAGCGGUUCCAAUUCCAUGGACAUCAAGCUAUGUUCACUAUCCACUGUGUCAUGUGCACCAUGUUCUACCGAUACUAAAAUAAGCACUUUUACUUGAGUUCUUUUCUUCUCAGUGAUAUAGAAAAUAGAUAACCCAAGUGUAACAACUUUUAUUAUUUAAUAAAGAAUUUAUAGUUCAAGUGAUUAAAAA